CCCAAAGUGCUGGGAUUACAGUCGUGAGCCACCGCGCCUGGCCUAGAUGAAAUCAUAUGGAGAAUCCCAAAAUGGAAAACAAAUCCAUGUUGUUAAAGAAGGGAAGAAGGCCUCGAUCCCAGCCCAUGGUACCUACGGUUACCUCCCAGAAACCUCUGAAUCAAGCCAAGGAAUCCUGAGGUUCUAAUGAUGAAUAUUUUAAAAUCCGUGAUUUUGAUUUUAGCCUUUUUAUAAAUGAGGUAACUGAGCUAAGUGUUGGUAAAUUUUUCACUUUCAAAAUGGCACAGUUUAUUAGUCUUCAGCAAACAAUAAAAACUAAAGAUUCUUGUCCAUGUCACACUCACUUUCAUGGCUGUCUUAAAGCUUAAAAGGGUUAGACUCUUACUAGGCAAGCUGAAAACAUAGUUUAUUCUUUUGUAUCCAGAUGUUCCCAAUUUCUCACUUUAGAGACACGUCUUCUGACGAUAUUCCUACAGUUAAACGCAU
This 486-nucleotide long non-coding RNA is filed under the name Homo sapiens (human). Its description in RNAcentral is "HSALNT0127667". Lineage: Eukaryota; Metazoa; Chordata; Mammalia; Primates; Hominidae. The record is from RNAcentral.